Molecule: long non-coding RNA, 2438 nt
Organism: Capra hircus (goat)
Lineage: Eukaryota; Metazoa; Chordata; Mammalia; Artiodactyla; Bovidae
Exons: 2
Source: RefSeq, a predicted model, not a curated record
CACGGCGCCCCAGCCCCACUCCCGGCCCGCGACUCGGGGCCCGAGCCUCGCCUACCUGCGGAGCCCUGGUAUCCCGCGGGCCGUGGCUCCCCAGCCUGUCAGCUCCGCGGCUCCCUGGUUCCCCGGUGGUGGGGGCUGGGCGCAGUCCUUGCCUCCCUGGCCCAGGGUUUGGAGGCUCUGCCCGGGAGAGUGGCGGGAGGGGCCGUCGUUGGUCGUCGACUCUGGGCUCCAGUCUGCAGCGCCCUCUGGGAGCGGACACCGAGCGCCCUCCAGGCAACAACAUUGAAGAACCUGGAAGAUUUUCUGCUCAGUUAAAUAAGACAGUCACCAAAGGACAAAUACUGUAUGACUCCAUGUGUGUGGAGUUCCGAGAGUAGUCAAAUUCUUAGAGACGGAAAGUCGAGUGGUGGUUCCUAGGGGUUGGAGAGAGCGGAGAAUGAGACAUUAUUGUUGUUUUUGGUGACGCCAUGUGGCACAUGGGAUCUCAGUUCCCCAACUAGGAAUGGAACCUAUACCCGCUGAAGUGGAAGUGCUGAGUCUUAACUACUGAACCACCAGGGAAGUCCAAGGCAUUAUUGCUUGGUGGAUACAGAGUUUCAUUCUGGGAAGAUGAAAGAGGUUCUAUAGUUGUUGAUGGUUGCACAACAGUGUGAAUGUACUUAAUGCCUCUGAACUGUGCCCUUGAGAAAGUUAAGAUGGGGAACUUCCCUGGCAGUCCAGUGGUUAAGACUUCCUGCUUCCUCUGCAGGGGGCACAGGUCCCAUCCCUUUCCAGGGAACUGAAAAUCCUGCACCCUUCUCGGCAAAGAAAAAGAGUUAAAAUGGUAAAUUUUGUUAUGUAUAUUUUACAGUGAAAAAAAGAAUGCAAGAAAAUCCUUCACCUUAAUCUUGAAAAAAGAAUAAUAUAAUGAACACUUAGUUUAUCAAAUCUUCACAUGAUGUCUUUUUUCCUCUUCUUUUUAAUGAAACAAAACAUUGUAGAUUUAACUGGAUCUUCUCAAUUUAUAUUUUGAGAUUUAUCUGUGUUGAUACAUGUGGUUCUGUGUCAUUUAUCUUAAUUGCUGUAUUGUAAUUCAUGCAUAUGCCACAAUUUAUUUAUCCAUGGACAUGAGGUUGUUUUCAGUUUUUCAAUAUUACUCACAGCGCAGCAGUCAAUUCUUGUAUUUUUCUCUGUAAGUGCAUGUGAGGUUUUCUCUAGAAGGAUAAAUAGAUAGAGAUCCUGGGCAGUAGGUAUAAGUAUCUUUGACUUUCUUAAGAAUUGCUCUAAGCAAUUUUUCUAAACAAAUCUCCAAAGCUCUCCUCAGGGCUUACAGCAAUUUACACUUCCAGUGGCAAUUAUGAAAGUUCCCAUUUUUCUACAUUCUGUGACUUGACAUUCAUUGGACCCUUUGUAUUGUGCCAAUCUGAUGCAGGUAAAAUGAUAUCUCAUUGUCAUUUUGAUUUUGAAUGGCUCUCUUGUUAUGAAACAUUUUGCUGAGCCCUUUUGUUGCUGACUGUUUGGGCAGAUGGUACUGUUUGCUCCCCACAGCUGUUUUACUCUGCUUUUCCCUUAAAAAAAAAAAAACAAACCUAAAUUUCAGUUGGGCUUAUGGCCUCCUGUACUAAAGACCACCCUUCCCAUCAUCUCUUACAACUAUGUGUAGCCAAGUGAUUAGUGUUUCGCUGAUCAGACUGAACAGAGGCUGUGCACCUUCAGGGACGUGUCAAAGGGAGGAGGCAUGCCCUUCUUGCCUUCUUCUUUCCUUUCAGCUGGAAUGCAGAUAUGAUGGCUGCAGCUGGAGCAGUUAUCUUGGAUGAUGAAGUGAACUUGGAAACCAAAGCAUGAGUGGCAGAGGAACAGGUUAGAAGGAACGAGCCUGGGUGGACCCAUGACCAUGAAUCACUGCACCAGCCCUGGACUGCCCACCCAGACAUACUCAUGAUGGAGAAAGAGACUUCUGCUUUGCUUCAGACACUGCUACCCUAUAUUUUCUAUCUCUCACCAGGAAUCCAAUCCUAACAAUACACCGAUCAGUUCAGUCUUAUGCAAAGCACCCAACGGAGGACACGUGUGUGUCUGGGGAGGACUGAGAAAGGAGUGGUUCUGAGGAAGCACCAAUACAUCCCUAUAGAAGGCAACCCGGCCAGUUUCCCAGGCCUGGACUGUGAGUUAAACUCUGGAUGUGACUUGAGUCACCUAACAUCCUUCCCUAGAAGAAGUCUAGACGAGAAAAACCAUCUUAGAGUGAGGCGGUGCUUUCAGAGUCUGAAGUCUGUGCGGCCUUCUCUGCCUCUCAAGGGAACUGCUCCUUGAGGGUGGUCUCAGGAGGUGGCAGGCAGACUCUGACCUCCACAGAGGCUCAGUGUGUAACUCCUUGCCCACACCUGCUGUGGGGCUGGGCUUGAGUCCUUUGGGAGACACGAAGAAUAAAAACCUUGGGACAUUUUUGUUUCUUCUAA